GGAGAAGUAGUUCAGUGGUUAGAACAUUUGUUUGUCAGACAAGGGGCCGUGGGUUCGAAUCCCAUCUUUUCC
This 72-nucleotide transfer RNA is filed under the name Leucocryptos marina. RNAcentral describes it as "tRNA-Asp". It matches the Rfam family "tRNA". From Rfam's summary of the family: Transfer RNA (tRNA) molecules are approximately 80 nucleotides in length. Their secondary structure includes four short double-helical elements and three loops (D, anti-codon, and T loops). Further hydrogen bonds mediate the characteristic L-shaped molecular structure. tRNAs have two regions of fundamental functional importance: the anti-codon, which is responsible for specific mRNA codon recognition, and the 3' end, to which the tRNAs corresponding amino acid is attached (by aminoacyl-tRNA synthetases). tRNAs cope with the degeneracy of the genetic code in two manners: having more than one tRNA (with a specific anti-codon) for a particular amino acid; and 'wobble' base-pairing, i.e. permitting non-standard base-pairing at the 3rd anti-codon position. Lineage: Eukaryota; Cryptophyceae; Kathablepharidacea; Katablepharidaceae. The record is from RNAcentral.